Molecule: ribosomal RNA, 371 nt
Filed under: uncultured organism
Description: bacterial SSU rRNA
Rfam family: Bacterial small subunit ribosomal RNA
Source: RNAcentral
CGGAGGGUGCAAGCGUUAAUCGGAAUUACUGGGCGUAAAGCGCACGCAGGCGGUUUGUUAAGUCAGAUGUGAAAUCCCCGCGCUUAACGUGGGAACUGCAUUUGAAACUGGCAAGCUAGAGUCUUGUAGAGGGGGGUAGAAUUCCAGGUGUAGCGGUGAAAUGCGUAGAGAUCUGGAGGAAUACCGGUGGCGAAGGCGGCCCCCUGGACAAAGACUGACGCUCAGGUGCGAAAGCGUGGGGAGCAAACAGGAUUAGAUACCCUGGUAGUCCACGCUGUAAACGAUGUCGACUUGGAGGUUGUGCCCUUGAGGCGUGGCUUCCGGAGCUAACGCGUUAAGUCGACCGCCUGGGGAGUACGGCCGCAAGGUUA